Molecule: ribosomal RNA, 479 nt
Filed under: uncultured soil bacterium
Lineage: Bacteria
Description: bacterial SSU rRNA
Rfam family: Bacterial small subunit ribosomal RNA
Source: RNAcentral
AGAUUGAACGCUGGCGGCAUGCUUUACACAUGCAAGUCGAACGGUAACAGGCCGCAAGGUGCUGACGAGUGGCGAACGGGUGAGUAAUGCAUCGGAACGUGCCCAGUCGUGGGGGAUAACGCAGCGAAAGCUGUGCUAAUACCGCAUACGAUCUAUGGAUGAAAGCGGGGGACCGAAAGGCCUCGCGCGAUUGGAGCGGCCGAUGUCAGAUUAGCUAGUUGGUGGGGUAAAGGCCCACCAAGGCGACGAUCUGUAGCUGGUCUGAGAGGACGACCAGCCACACUGGAACUGAGACACGGUCCAGACUCCUACGGGAGGCAGCAGUGGGAAUUUUGGACAAUGGGCGCAAGCCUGAUCCAGCAAUGCCGCGUGCAGGAAGAAGGCCUUCGGUGUAACUGCUUUGUAGGAACGAAACGGCUUAGGUAAUACGUCGGACUAAUGACGUACCGUAAGAAGUAAGACACCGGACUAACUACGUA